GACGUAGGGCGCGAGCGUUGUCCGGAUUUAUUGGGCGUAAAGAGCUCGUAGGCGGCUUGUUACGUCAGCUGUGAAAACCCGCAGCUCAACUGUGGGCUUGCAGCUGAUACGGGCAGGCUUGAGUUCGGUAGGGGAGACUGGAAUUCCUGGUGUAGCGGUGAAAUGCGCAGAUAUCAGGAGGAACACCGGUGGCGAAGGCGGGUCUCUGGGCCGAUACUGACGCUGAGGAGCGAAAGCGUGGGGAGCGAACAGG
RNAcentral lists this ribosomal RNA (253 nucleotides) under uncultured bacterium. RNAcentral describes it as "partial 16S ribosomal RNA". It matches the Rfam family "Bacterial small subunit ribosomal RNA", at positions 524 to 776 of the family's 1533-position model. The record is from RNAcentral.